UUGAAACCAGGAUUAGAUACCCUAUUAUAACUUUAUUUUAAAUUAUAUUAUCAGGGUAGUAAACAGUUAUAAUCUUGAAACUCAAAGGAUUUGGCGGUAGCUUAGUCUGCUUAGAGGAACCUGUCCUGUAAACGACAAACCACGAAUUAUCUUACCUUGUUUUGUAAAUAUAUCAGUUUGUAUACCGUCAUUAUUAGAUAACUUUAUUAAAAUAUUAGUUAUUGUAAUAAGAAGUUCUUAAAAUAUUAGAUCAAGGUGCAGCUAAUAAUAAGGUAGAGAUGGGUUACAAUAAAUAAAAUUAUUACGGAGAAGAAGUAUAAAAUCUUUUUUAAAGGAGGAUUUAAAUGUAAAAGUAUUUUAAUAAAGUUACUUUGACUUUAGCUCUAAGCUAUGUACAUAUCGCCCGUCGCUA
RNAcentral lists this ribosomal RNA (412 nucleotides) under Sergia nr. robusta HDBG-2012. Its description in RNAcentral is "partial 12S ribosomal RNA". The stretch from base 54 to 412 matches the Rfam family "Microsporidia small subunit ribosomal RNA", at positions 752 to 1204 of the family's 1311-position model. Lineage: Eukaryota; Metazoa; Arthropoda; Malacostraca; Decapoda; Sergestidae. The record is from RNAcentral.